CUACGGGCGGCUGCAGUGGGGAAUAUUGCACAAUGGGCGCAAGCCUGAUGCAGCCAUGCCGCGUGUAUGAAGAAGGCCUUCGGGUUGUAAAGUACUUUCAGCGGGGAGGAAGGGAGUAAAGUUAAUACCUUUGCUCAUUGACGUUACCCGCAGAAGAAGCACCGGCUAACUCCGUGCCAGCAGCCGCGGUAAUACGGAGGGUGCAAGCGUUAAUCGGAAUUACUGGGCGUAAAGCGCACGCAGGCGGUUUGUUAAGUCGGAUGUGAAAUCCCCGGGCUCAACCUGGGAACUGCAUCUGAUACUGGCAAGCUUGAGUCUCGUAGAGGGGGGUAGAAUUCCAGGUGUAGCGGUGAAAUGCGUAGAGAUCUGGAGGAAUACCGGUGGCGAAGGCGGCCCCCUGGACGAAGACUGACGCUCAGGUGCGAAAGCGUGGGGAACAAACAGGAUUAGAUACCCGAGUAGUC
Molecule: ribosomal RNA, 464 nt
Filed under: uncultured bacterium
Lineage: Bacteria
Description: partial 16S ribosomal RNA
Rfam family: Bacterial small subunit ribosomal RNA
Source: RNAcentral